UACGUAGGGGGCAAGCGUUGUCCGGAUUUAUUGGGCGUAAAGAGCGUGUAGGCGGCCAAGCAGGUCCGCUGUGAAAACUCGAGGCUCAACCUCGAGACGUCGGUGGAAACCGUUUGGCUAGAGUCCGGAAGAGGAGAGUGGAAUUCCCGGUGUAGCGGUGAAAUGCGCAGAUAUCAGGAGGAACACCGGUGGCGAAGGCGGCAUUCUGGACCGAAACUGACGUUGAGGCGCGAAAGCCAGGGGAGCAAACGGG
RNAcentral lists this ribosomal RNA (253 nucleotides) under uncultured bacterium. Its description in RNAcentral is "partial 16S ribosomal RNA". It matches the Rfam family "Bacterial small subunit ribosomal RNA", at positions 524 to 776 of the family's 1533-position model. The record is from RNAcentral.